Molecule: ribosomal RNA, 402 nt
Filed under: Pseudomonas sp.
Lineage: Bacteria; Pseudomonadati; Pseudomonadota; Gammaproteobacteria; Pseudomonadales; Pseudomonadaceae
Also listed under: 3 other names
Description: partial 16S ribosomal RNA
Rfam family: Bacterial small subunit ribosomal RNA
Source: RNAcentral
UGGGGAAUAUUGGACAAUGGGGGGAACCCUGAUCCAGCAAUGCCGCGUGAGUGAUGAAGGCCUUAGGGUUGUAAAGCUCUUUUACCAGGGAUGAUAAUGACAGUACCUGGAGAAUAAGCUCCGGCUAACUCCGUGCCAGCAGCCGCGGUAAUACGGAGGGAGCUAGCGUUGUUCGGAAUUACUGGGCGUAAAGCGCACGUAGGCGGUUACUCAAGUCAGAGGUGAAAGCCCGGGGCUCAACCCCGGAACUGCCUUUGAAACUAGGUAACUAGAAUCCUGGAGAGGUGAGUGGAAUUCCGAGUGUAGAGGUGAAAUUCGUAGAUAUUCGGAAGAACACCAGUGGCGAAGGCGGCUCACUGGACAGGUAUUGACGCUGAGGUGCGAAAGCGUGGGGAGCAAACA